GAGUUUGAUCAUGGCUCAGAACGAACGCUGGCGGCGUGCCUAACACAUGCAAGUCGAACGAGAAUGCAGGCUUCGGUCUGCUAGUAAAGUGGCGCACGGGUGAGUAAACACGUGGGUAACGUACAUCGUAGUGGGGGAUAACCAGGUGAAAGCUUGGCUAAUACCGCAUGAGUCUGUCGGGACGCGAGUCCUGAUAGGGAAAGUGGAGCAAUCCACGCUACGAGAUCGGCCCGCGGCCCAUUAGCUAGUUGGCGGGGUAACGGCCCACCAAGGCGACGACGGGUAGCUGGUCUGAGAGGAUGAUCAGCCACAACUGGAACUGAGACACGGUCCAGACUCCUACGGGAGGCAGCAGUGGGAAUUUUGCGCAAUGGGCGAAAGCCUGACACAGCAACGCCGCGUGUGUGACGAAGGCCCUAGGGUU
RNAcentral lists this ribosomal RNA (424 nucleotides) under uncultured delta proteobacterium. Its description in RNAcentral is "bacterial SSU rRNA". It matches the Rfam family "Bacterial small subunit ribosomal RNA", at positions 9 to 424 of the family's 1533-position model. The record is from RNAcentral. Lineage: Bacteria; Deltaproteobacteria.